GCUCACGCAUCGGAUGAUACGUAGCAAACGACGCGGGGUUGUUUGCAUCGUACCGUCGGCGUACCUUUCCCGUUACAAAACAGUACUAGGACUAGACGGAUACGAUCCCGCACGUCUGGAAUCAUUUAAGAGAACGCAACUAAGCGAAGCUCACUAUUCGCUCACGCAUCGGAUGAUACGUAGCAGUGUGCGACACCGUUCCCACACAGAACAGAUGUGCAUAUAGCGACAGAGAAAUAAUAAAAUCUCUCCGUCGAAGCGCUCGGUCUUCGGGGCUAUGUGCCCGUAUGAAUCCCGUUCCAUAUUUUCCCGCCGAUACAGCACGAAGCCGUACACGGCGGGAGGCGCUCGGUCCUCGAGAAGAGUCCCGUUCCAUAUUUUCCCGCCGGUAGAGCACGAAGCCGUACACGGCGGGAGGCGCUCGGUCCUCUAGAAGAGUCCCGUUCCAUCGACGUACUCCGGUCGGCGAUCAAUGAGAACGCCGUCCAUCGUAAUACGUCGUUCAAUUUCAAUGUCGUCGUCAGACAACAUUGCAUUCGU
This 540-nucleotide unclassified non-coding RNA is filed under the name Stenoponia tripectinata. Its description in RNAcentral is "sequence contains ITS1". Lineage: Eukaryota; Metazoa; Arthropoda; Insecta; Siphonaptera; Ctenophthalmidae. The record is from RNAcentral.